Molecule: ribosomal RNA, 1617 nt
Filed under: Triticum aestivum (bread wheat)
Lineage: Eukaryota; Viridiplantae; Streptophyta; Magnoliopsida; Poales; Poaceae
Description: partial small subunit ribosomal RNA
Source: RNAcentral
CUCACUCCCGCACCAGCCGCCACACAACCCUAGGCCUCCUUGCACUUCGUUCCCCGCUCGCUCGUCCCUCGGUUCUCCUCAUCCCUCCUCUGCUCCGGCUGCUACGCCGCCUCUCCCUCCACAACACGACCAGCUCGAGCUCCACCUCCUCCAUCUCAAGGAGAUGACUGCACGACUGCACAAGACGUUCGGCGCUGUCACCAUCGUCCUCGACACGAGUGAAGCACGGGAUGCUUGCUGCAUCGCCGUCGUCCUUUCUUUCGCUGCCACCACCACCCCGACCGAGCCAUCCCCGUUCUCUCGUUGAGCCUUCUCCUCCGGGCUCACCGACCCAGGUGGCGGAGAAGGAGAGGGUGAGCUCGAGGGACAGGCAAGGGAGGAGGGCGUGACGGGGUCGGAUCUGGUGGUGGCAGAUUUGAGCUCGAGCUCGAGGCGGAGACAAGGAAGGUCGGAAAAUGAAGAGAUGGGAUGAAGGUGCUCGAGGCGAAGGACCGCUCAUCGGCGAGCUCUAGCUGGAGGCGGCGAGAUCCCUCUCCCAAUCUCUCAUUCUCUCGAUUUUCCCCUCUCCAAACCUUCAUCUAUGUUCUCGCGCAUUGCACACGUCUGCUCUCCCUCACCACAACCAGCGUCGGCAGCCUGCAUCCCCCGUCAAGCGUGCAUCGGCGCUAGAUGUGCAAGCUUCAACGACCGCAUCAACAACGAUGGUGGGCAGGCAAGGAGUGAGAUGGCGGUCACGAUUUUCAGUCUGAAGUUGCUUUUAUGAACUUUCAGUCAAUGUUAGCACUGAAUAUAUAUGGUAUUUCUUCUGCACCGAGCCGGAUAGUUUAGCUGAUAAUUUUUUCGUUCUGCAACCAAGUAGUGGAAGAUAAUGGUAACCAAGGCCACCUUUGUUGACCACGAUCCAGUUGUCUGUUAUAUUCUGUGUUUUCAUUUCCUUCCAUUAACAUGGCAUUAUGUGUUCUUAUUCAGCUUGCUUGUGGAAAAACUGGUUCUCGUUCAGUUAUGCCUGUCAGUCUGAUAGAAGAUGGACACCCCUCUUCAAGUUGGUUUAUGGGCUUGCGGAGUGUGAGAAGGCCGGUUCAUAUUGACAUGGAGGAGGCAUAGAGGGUUAUUGCUUCUGUUUGUGGGCUGGCCUUGAGGGGGAGACCAAAGCAAACAUCAACAUGUUCAAGGUACAUACUGAAGGAUGUUCUGAGGCUAGCACCUGGUUUAGAAGUUUUGCAGUUCACAACAAUACCUCAUAAUUUUGAUUUGAUGUCCAGAAUGUCAACUGAGGAAUGAGCCUAUGAACUGCAUUGUAUUUUGUAAUAUAUCCUUAUAUAUGGUGCUUGUGGCAUUUUUUUUGCAAUUAUAAGUUUACAUUUAUGGGUAUUUACAGAGUCCCCCUUUCUUUUUCCACAAGUGGCAGUAGUUGUGCCAUUCGAUUUGAAGGACAAAGAGUUGAUCACAAAGGGGUAGCAUUCAGGAUAUAUACACAAGAGUAUAGAACCAAAUUAUAUGAUGUAAUUGACCACUAUUUCUAUUAACUUUUCUUGUACACAAUGUUCACGAGUUCGUGUACAUUUUAUUGUGUCACUUGUGUUUACUUUUUUUUAAUGCAAGUUUACAGCUACUCGG